Long non-coding RNA from Syngnathoides biaculeatus (alligator pipefish), 1845 nucleotides. RefSeq lists it as uncharacterized. The transcript has 4 exons. NCBI's taxonomy places the organism in Eukaryota, Metazoa, Chordata, Actinopteri, Syngnathiformes, Syngnathidae. The record is from RefSeq and is a predicted model, not a curated record.
GCCGGAAGUGUCGGUCAAACAAGCCGGUUAGAGAUGACAUGAAAAUAGCACGACGCCCAGAGUUUUGUCUGAUACCGUUAAACGUUUCGAAGGUUGAUAAUAAAUGAAGCUUGCGCUUGUCUUGGCCGACUGCAACUACGCACGGAUCUGGUGAGGAAGUUGUCGACAUUUACACGGGAGCGUGGAAAAGUCUGGACUUCGUUGCUGGAUCUGUUCUCAAUCAAGAAUAAAUCCCACACAGCGAUGGAGCCGCUCACAUUUUUUCAAUACAAAUACCAGUAUUUCAAUAAAUGACCCCUGUUUUUACACAAACUCGCAUUCAUUAACUAGGAUUGAGGGGGGGGGGAGACCCUAAAGGGGGUCUACUAUGUAAGCGAAGCACGUUUAACUUUGGUGAACCUCUCUGUGACAGAUGUUUUUUUGUUCUUUUUUUUUUUAAAUAUGUGUUGGACUCAUUUGAGGAGAAAAAAAACAUCACAGAGAGCAUGUUGCUGCUGUGCUACAGGCGUGUCAUAGUGAUAUUUACCAGUAAGUUUUAUCUUAUCUGUUAGCGCUAGCUUUAGCACGGCACUAGUGUUAGCACUACCGUUAGCCCCACGCUAGCAUUAAACGCUUUCUGUGUAGCAUCUUUCUUUGUAAACAUUUCAUGUUUCAAUGUGGGAACUUGCGGCUUUUACACCGCUGCGGCGUACGUAUGUAUGUAGCUACCAAAUGGUAUUUCCUUUCCAAAUGUUCUGGGUGAGGCUCGUAACCGGGUGCACGCUGUAGGCCGGGAAUUACGGUAAUUGUUUGACUCUAAACUUCAACUGGCAGUGACAUUAAACACCUCUCGUAUAUAUUUUUUUUUUUUAAAUUGCUUUGUCUUCCCCAAACGCUGCUGCUGAUUGUGAGGCAACCUGAAUUGAGUUUAGUGCCCCCCCCCAAAUUUGCUGCUAAAUCCAUCAGUAAUAAAUCACCACAUUCGAAAUGUUUGGAUCAAAUUUGACUUCCACACCUUUUCAAAGAAUCGGAUGCUUUGAAAAUGUGUCCCAUGUGAACAUCUCCUCAGAUAGUUUGACCAAAAAAAAAAAAAAAAUUGUAACGAGCCUGUUGAGCAAAAGCCGCUCGGAGGAGGAGGAGGGGCGGAGCCAAGAUGCCACCGGGGGUCAAAGAUCAAGUCAGUCCCAAGUGGCCGCUUGCCGAGACCGCAGCAGCGGGGGCACGCCCGGCGUCAAUGCGGUUAGGGUCCAUUUCUUUUUAACGACGUAAUGGCCCGAACAGAUGUGGAGUCGAGGCCGGGCGACGGCGAGCCGGACCGAGCGGGAGGGACGUCGUCGCCGCCGCUGCGGUCGCGGUAGCGACUUGAGGUACGGAUCGCCGGAUCUCGUUUGGCGAUAGCCAAAAGAUUGACCGUAAACGAUGUCAAGCCAACACGUCAGCGCUAACGUCGGUCUUCCUUGUCCGGAAUGCUAGCGAUCACGUUGAAAGCUAACUUCUGAAGGCAUCGAUAACGCCAAGGUCAGAGGCUAACAUGAGCCGUAACUGAAGCCAAUGCUAACGGUAACAUUGGAGGCUAGCUUUGGAAGCUAAAUGUUCAAACCACCGUUGCAAGCAAACAUCGGUCUCCUUUAUCUUUAUUGUUAGGCGUACGAUUGGAAGCUAAUGUGAGAAAAAUUUUUUACUUGAUAGACGACGUGGAAUCAAGCCUUGGCAGAGAUGCCGGAAGGUAACAUCAAGGCUAACUUUCUAAGUCAAUGAAGCUAAUGUCAGAACGUAACGAUUUUCUGGCUGUCCAACAUUCGACGUAUUGUUGGAAGCCAACUUCACUUGCUAACGCAGAAGACUAUCGUUGAAGCUAAAGCUAGC